Cyprinodon variegatus (sheepshead minnow) is the source of this 3933-nucleotide long non-coding RNA. RefSeq lists it as uncharacterized. The transcript has 2 exons. NCBI's taxonomy places the organism in Eukaryota, Metazoa, Chordata, Actinopteri, Cyprinodontiformes, Cyprinodontidae. The record is from RefSeq and is a predicted model, not a curated record.
GCGAAACAUCUUCAAACUUGGAAACAAAGUCCAGUGGUUUGUUUUUUUAUUUUUUUGGAAUGACGAUGACCUGGAUGACAGAGAAUCUUCACCAGCUUAAAAUAAGAAUCUACAUCAAGAUUUAAUUGCUUUUAUCCAAAACAAGAAACAAAUGUCCACAUAACCUUUACAAUUAAUAAAACUGAUAAUGGUGAAAAAGUAAGAAAGAAAUAUAAUAUUUAGUUGUUGAUUAAAUAAAGGACUUGAGUUUAGUGGUGUUUUUAUAUAUUUGCUGUUCUGCUCAUUCUGGUAUUAAUAUAACUAGCUAAUUUUUAGCUGAAUGGUUAGAAUGAUGUAUUUUUUUACACCAUAACUGUGAAUUUCUCAGUCCAAAAUAUUCCCAAACAACAGGAUUUGGUUUUCCUUUCAAGCAAUGAAAAAAAGUAACUAGUAUUGAUUCAGCAAGAUAAUCUGGAGUGCACAGGAACGGGUGGGGGAGGGGCACAGUUAAACUAAAAUUGACAUGACAGGAAAUCAGAGCAGACAUAAAGCUGUAACCUUCCAAAAACCUGUUGGACCUUCAUCCCGCUGACCAGCCCAUGCAAAGCAUGAAUGCUUGAGUUAAAUAUAACAUUUAACUAAUAAGAUUUGAUUUUUAUUUUUGCAAAGCCACCCCCCCCGGCCAGAUCUGUAACAACAUUCAAAAAUAUGAAUAUGCUCAUUGGCUUAACAAACCAAUGAAAACUCACAGCACUGAGAGCUAGAUCACAUAAGCCCUAUCACAACACGCAGCAGCGCUGCUGGGUCAAUAAACACACAGGUUCAUACAUCCACACACACGUAGCUCAAGAUAAAGGAUUUUUUUUUUUAAGAAGAAAAGGAUUGAGGAAGAAUCUUGAAGACUGAGGAUAUUUUUCAUGCAAUAAACUCCAGAAGCCACUCAGCAAAGCCGACGUUGCACACGCCACAGACCUGGCGGGCUGAGGAAAACAAUGUGAAUCUGAGGACUCCCCCUUCUGGGAAGUUAAUGAGUUUGAAACCAAGUGGAGCUGCUAAGAGACUGUUAAGCUUUACAGUUUUUGUGCAUUUUUUUUAAAAUCCUGUCACCUUUUUUGGCUAGAACAGAGGAGCGAUCGUAGAGGUAUGCAGGUCGUCCCAGCGAUCAAGCUUUUGCACGAAGACUUUGUGGAGUCCAACCAUCCCGCUCAAUGAGCAAUACGCUGCUGCUGCUGCUUCACAUCAUGUCUUUAUAUGCACAAAACCCACCAAUCCAUGUGUCUCUUCCUGACUCCUUUCCUCAUUAAAUGUUGUCUGUGAAAAAUGUUUAGAGAAAAUCUUUUGGAAGUUGUAAAAAGUGAUUUUAGCUAGAUAAAUGGAAGUAAAGCAGAACUUUAGGGCCCUAAAAUUCAAAAUUCUCAAAGUAUCAAGAAACAAAAAUCCUGACACUCUUAAAAACUGAUUAGUAAGGAAGAAUGCACACUGGCAUUUAAUAUAAUGUAAAAAAAAAUAACUAAAUAAAUAAUUUAUCAUGAGAAUGAAAGAAUCCAUACCUUAAGUUUCUUUACAAAAAGAAAAAUAGUAAAAAUGGAUCCUUUAAAUCCCAAAAAAUAAAAUGAAAACAAAGACAAGAUAACAUUCUAAAAAGCUUGACAGCAAAAACAAAAAUAUACUUUUUGCAAGACUUCAAAAAUAUUACUACAAAUUUGAAAUGCAAUGCAGCCCGGUUUCAAUUGCUGAUCACUUAGUAAUUUAUUUGCUUGUUUUUCUGACUUUUUGUAUUUGAAUUGUUUCAGUUUUAAAGUGUGCUGUGAAAGCAGUCUGUAUGGGGCUGAUGCUAACUGAUAACAUGGUGAAUGGAGCUGCCACUACCUCACAGCAGGCUGCAUGGGCAAAAUCUAAAUGGCACCAGGCUAACUCGAGUCAAUGCUAACUGACAACAGGCUGUAUGGGGCCAAUGCUAACUAACAGCAGGCUGCGUGGGGCCAAAGCUAGCUGACAGCUGGAUGUGUGGGACCAAUGCUAACUGGUAUGAGGCUGUGUGGUGCCGAUGCUAACUCACAGCAGGCUGCUUGAGGCAGAUGCUAACUCACAGCAGUCUGCUUGAGGCAGAUGCUAACUCAUAGCAGGCUGCUUGAGGCAGAUGCUAACUCACAGCAGUCUGCUUGAGGAAGAUGCUAACUAACAGCAGGCUGCUUGAGGCAGAUGCUAACUGGCACCAGGCCAUGUGGUGCCAAUGCUAACUAGUAGCAGACUGCUUGAGGCCAAUGUUAACUGACACCAGGCUGCUUUGAGCUGAUGCUAAAUAAUAGCAGGCUGCUUGAGGCAGAUGCUAACUAACAGCAGGCUGCUUGAGGCAGAUGCUAACUGACAGCAGGCUGCUUGGACCUAAUGCUAACUGACAGCAGGCUGCUCGAGGCAGAUGCUAACUGGCACCAGGCCAUGUGGUGCCAAUGCUAGCUCGUAGCAGACUGCUUGAGGCCAAUGCUAACUGACAGCAGGCUGCUUGAGGCAGAUGCUAAAAGACAGCAGGCUGCUUGGACCUGAUGCUAACUGACAGUGGGCUGCGUGGGGCCAAUGCUAACUAACUGCAGGCUCUUUGAUUCUGAUGCUAGCUAACAGCAGGCUAAAUGGGGCCAAUGCUAACUGGCACCAGGCCACGUGGUGCCAGUGCUAACUCACAGCAGACUGUUUGAGGUCAAUGCUAACUGACAGCCGGCUGCUUUGAGCUGAUGCUAAUUAUGAGCAGGCUGCGUGGUGCCGAUGCUAACUCAUAGCAGGCUGCGUGGGGCCAAUGUUAGCUGACAUCACGCUGCAUGGGGACAAUGCUAACUAACAGCGGGCUGCAUGUAGCCGAUGCUUACUGACAGCAAGCUGUGCAGAUCCAAUGCUUACUAUCAGUGGGCUGCGUUGGGGCAAUGCUAGCUUACAGCACGCUGCAUGGGAUGAAGCUAACCAACAGCAGGGUUUAUUGGUUAAUGCUAAAUAACAGGAGGCUGUAUCGGACCGACGCUGAUAGCAGGCUGUACUGAGCGGAUGUUAACUGACAGCAGGCGGUUUAUGUUAAAUGUGGCUGAUCUGAAUGCGUACGCUAUGAGCUAUAUUGUUAAAUGUGACCUUUAUGCCCGUAGGGGGCAGUGUGUCAAAGAUGGUGCUUCUUUUCUACUGUAGAUAAACAGAUGAUGUGCUGUAAGAGUUUCAGUAGAACUUUGAUUGUCAAGUCCAUGUUUUGAGAAGUUGGACUUGGACAAAUAUUUAAUGAAUGUCGUCAGUUUUUCUGUCCCUCACCGAAAUGAUCACUGUUCAAAUACAAAUACUUAACCUAAAUGUAAAAAAGCAGACAUUGUGGUACGUAUCGACCUCUCUUUGGUGAGCCUUGCUUUCUUCUGUAGGAGUUUAAAUGAUAAUUAAAAUGAUCCUAAAGCAGCAAGUUUGAGGUGUCCUCUGAUAGAUUCUUUUAGAUGUCCUUUCUACUGUGAAAGAAACGUGAAGAACUGUUACUAUUUUCCAGGUUUAUCUCUCUUUGUUUGGUCAAUUUUUUGUAGUAAUAGUUUAUUAUGGACUUCAACUCACAAACACAACCAGUCACUGUAUAUACUAUAUUUAAAAACAUUUUCUCAUGCUAUUAAAUACUUAAAUUAGUGUCAAAUUUAAAAAAUAAUAUCUAUAAGUAGUUGGAGAUAUUACAUGGUGCCUCUGAGGCUUUGUUCACGUGCUCUUAAUAUUUAGCAAAAGGGACAUUUUAGGGGGGAAAUCACAUUUUAAAAACAUUAACUGAAGUGGAAAAAUGUUAAACAUUUUAAUGUCUAGUCUGAGAAAAUGGGAGUGUUAUGAAUAUAAGGUAGCGGCUUGACUUAUUUAUUCAAUACUUUUCUUUGUAUUGCUAAAAUCUCUUUUAUCACCACCUACUGGCACUCUAGGGUUACUGCAGCAUUUUUUUCUUUAUUUAUAAAAAAA